GGGGUUGUGGCUCAGUGGUAGAGCGCUUGCUUAGCAUGUGUGAGGCACUGGGUUCAAUUCUCAGCACCA
RNAcentral lists this transfer RNA (69 nucleotides) under Marmota monax (woodchuck). It matches the Rfam family "tRNA". Rfam says of the family: Transfer RNA (tRNA) molecules are approximately 80 nucleotides in length. The record is from Rfam by way of RNAcentral. RNAcentral also lists the same sequence under 4 other names. Lineage: Eukaryota; Metazoa; Chordata; Mammalia; Rodentia; Sciuridae.